RNAcentral lists this ribosomal RNA (450 nucleotides) under uncultured bacterium. Its description in RNAcentral is "bacterial SSU rRNA". It matches the Rfam family "Bacterial small subunit ribosomal RNA", at positions 29 to 524 of the family's 1533-position model. The record is from RNAcentral.
AGCGAACGCUGGCGGCAGGCCUAACACAUGCAAGUCGAGCGCUCGUAGCAAUACGGGAGCGGCAGACGGGUGAGUAACACGUGGGAACGUGCCCUUUGGUUCGGAAUAACUCAGGGAAACUUGAGCUAAUACCGGAUAAGCCCUUACGGGGAAAGAUUUAUCGCCAAAGGAUCGGCCCGCGUCUGAUUAGCUUGUUGGUGGGGUAAUGGCCCACCAAGGCUACGAUCAGUAGCNGGUCUGAGAGGAUGAUCAGCCACAUUGGGACUGAGACACGGCCCAGACUCCUACGGGAGGCAGCAGUUGGGAAUAUUGGACAAUGGGCGAAAGCCUGAUCCAGCAAUGCCGCGUGAGUGAUGAAGCCUUAGGGUUGUAAAGCUCUUUUACCCGGGAUGAUAAUGACAGUACCGGGAGAAUAAGCCCCGCUAACUCCGUGCCAGCCGCCGCCGUAAC